AUGACCUAAGAUAUCCCCGUGCAUUUUUUUCCUUUUUUUAAAUAGUCCAAUAUAAAUAAAUAAAUAAAUAAUAGGUCUGUUAGUCCCUGGCGGGCCUUCCUCAGUUCAAGCUUCAUCCAUUAUAGAGGGAGCUCAGUAUAUCUUAUCUGCAGUUAGGAAAGCGUCAACAUCCACUAGAUCAACAUAUGUAACCUCUUAGGCAGUCUUGGUUGGUCUCAAGUCUCAGCCAAGCCAUGUGGAUGGCAUUACGGGCGGCCCAUCAAGUCCUCUAAAUCAAUAGCAAAAAUAGAACACAGCAUGAGUCUUCGUAUCAAUUCAAGCUUUGCAUGUCUGACUUAUUGUGCUCUCUCGCUGAUGUCGGUCAAAAAUAUUGGACAAUAUUCUAAUUUAACAUGGUCCAUUAACAGUUGUUACUUGUGAAAUUUGUUUGCUUUGCCUUUUUAUUGCUAGAAAUAUCAUUUCAAGGGGAAAAAGUACUGGCAGUAAAUCAUGCAGAAAUGCAUGGUCAUUAGGUCCCACAAGUUAAAUCUAUUCGUUCAUAACAUUAAUCAAACUGCUAAUCAUAGUGUAUCGUUGUAGUUUCUGCUGAUCAACUGAUUUAUAAGGGAUCAUUUUAGUCUGAUGGAUUGACCAUUUGAAUCUUCGCAUUAACAAUGAAAACUUCUAGGUGUUGAUUGGAUAAUUUUACCUUGCUGAUGCUUACCGUAAUGAAAAAUGCUGUAUGGCUGGUCUCGAUUGCCGAUCACUUUUAUGUAAAACUCCUUUUCUUCUGAUGAGUCUGGAAGGUAUUUGGUAUUGUAGCAGUAUGAAUAAUUCCCCAUUUUUUAAUGAGUGGCUGCUGGAAGUUCCACUGGUGGAAAAGGGUUUUCUUGUAAGAUUUCUUAGCUCAUAGGUUUAUGCAAGGUGAAGAAAGUCUUUCCGAUCAACAUUUUAAAUUUGCCUACAAUUUAAUGAAAUUCAUGAAGGGACAUAAUUUUAUAUUUUGAACUUUUGAUUAGUAAUUUCCCUUGAUCAAUUGACUAUUUUAUCAGGACCAAGGUCGCGGCUUGUGCUAAGCACUAUGUGGGAGAUGGUGGCACAACCAGAGGCAUCAAUGAAAACAACACUGUGAUAAGUUUGAAUGGAUUGCUCAAUAUCCAUAUGCCAGCAUACUUCAAUGCCAUCACCAAGGGAGUUGCAACAGUCAUGGUCUCCUAUUCAAGCUGGAAUGGAAAAAAGAUGCAUGCUAAUCGUGAUCUUGUCACUGGAUUCCUCAAGAACAAGAUGAAGUUCAGGGGCAUUGUAAUAUCAGAUUGGCAGGGGAUUGACAGGAUUACCUCUCCUCCUCAUGCCAAUUAUUCAUAUUCUGUUGAAGCUGGAGUCAGUGCGGGAAUUGACAUGGUCAUGGUUCCUUAUAAUUUCACAGAAUUCAUAGAUGACCUAACCUAUCAGGUGAAGAACAAAAUUAUCCCCAUGAGCAGGAUUAAUGACGCGGUACAAAGAAUCUUAAGGGUUAAAUUUACCAUGGGUCUUUUUGAGAACCCACUUGCUGAUCUCAGUUUGACCAGCCAACUUGGUAGUCAGGAACAUAGAGAAUUAGCAAGAGAAGCUGUAAGGAAAUCACUUGUGUUGCUGAAAAAUGGGAUAAAUGGAACUGAUCCAUUACUACCGCUCCCCAAGAAAGCUUCAAAGAUUUUAGUUGCAGGUACUCAUGCUGACAAUUUGGGCUACCAAUGUGGAGGGUGGACAAUUGCAUGGCAAGGAUUUAGUGGCAACAACUAUACAAGGGGAACAACCAUCCUUGCUGCCAUAAGAUCUAUAGUUGAUCCUAGUACAGAAGUUUUCUUCCAAGAGAAUCCUGAUAGCAAGUUUGUCAAGUCCAAUAACUUUGCUUAUGCUGUUGUUAUUGUUGGUGAGCCUCCUUAUGCUGAAACAGCAGGAGAUAGCAUGAACCUCACAAUGAUAGAUCCUGGUCCAAGUGUUAUCAGCAAUGUCUGUGAGGCUGUCAAGUGUGUUGUUGUCAUCAUCUCUGGUCGACCUAUUGUGAUUGAACCAUAUGUUUCCUUAGUUGAUGCCUUAGUUGCAGCAUGGUUGCCUGGCACCGAAGGCCAUGGGGUGACUGAUGUCCUUUAUGGAGACUAUAGAUUUAGUGGAAAACUUCCAAGAACAUGGUUUAAAAAUGUAAAUCAGCUACCAAUGAAUGUUGGGGAUUCACACUACGAUCCACUUUUCCCCUUUGGCUUUGGGCUGAAAACUGGGUCUGUUCCAGGUGUUGUGGGAAGGUCAACAUCAGCUGGUGUUGUUGGGAGGCCAUAUAUACCUUUUAUUGUGGUCCUUGUAACAUUCAAUUUGUAUUUCACAGGCAUAAUUUUUAACCUGAAUCACUCAUGAACAAGUAUCCUUAUUUUAGAUAAUUGAAUAGAUUGAUCUGUUUUUCCCGCACCUUGAAGAGAUGUUUACCCAUUUCCUUUCAAUCAAUGGAAUGUUGGCCAUGUUUAGCAGGCUACAAAAAAAUUAAUUCGAUUUCUUAGUGUGACUUU
RNAcentral lists this unclassified non-coding RNA (2519 nucleotides) under Hevea brasiliensis (rubber tree). Lineage: Eukaryota; Viridiplantae; Streptophyta; Magnoliopsida; Malpighiales; Euphorbiaceae. The record is from RNAcentral.